This 362-nucleotide ribosomal RNA is filed under the name uncultured soil bacterium. RNAcentral's name for it is "bacterial SSU rRNA". It matches the Rfam family "Bacterial small subunit ribosomal RNA", at positions 26 to 404 of the family's 1533-position model. The record is from RNAcentral.
AGAACGAACGCUGGCGGCAUGCCUAAUACAUGCAAGUCGAACGAACUCUUCGGAGUUAGUGGCGCACGGGUGCGUAACGCGUGGGAAUCUGCCCUUGGGUUCGGAAUAACAGUUGGAAACGACUGCUAAUACCGGAUGAUAUCGAAAGAUCAAAGAUUUAUCGCCCAGGGAUGAGCCCGCGUAGGAUUAGCUAGUUGGUGAGGUAAAGGCUCACCAAGGCGACGAUCCUUAGCUGGUCUGAGAGGAUGAUCAGCCACACUGGGACUGAGACACGGCCCAGACUCCUACGGGAGGCAGCAGGUAGGGAAUAGUUGGGACAAGUGGGCGACGAAGCCCGUGACUCCAAGACUAAUGCCGCGUGA